This is a long non-coding RNA of Penaeus indicus, 293 nucleotides long. RefSeq lists it as uncharacterized. The record is from RefSeq and is a predicted model, not a curated record. The transcript has 3 exons. Lineage: Eukaryota; Metazoa; Arthropoda; Malacostraca; Decapoda; Penaeidae.
CAGGUGAGUAAGCGGCCGGUCUAGCUCCUGGAGUGUCACGGUUUCAUUGCCGCUGCCUCUCAGAACUACUGGAUGCUGAGACGAAGGGGAGAAAGAAAGAAAAAGAAAAAGAGAGAGAGAGAGAGAGAGAACCCGACCCGAUUGUCUUUUGUAAUGAGAGAAACCCUUUUACUUCCGGCGCCGUGAGAUCCGAGUGUUGUUAGGAGAAGUUUCUUGAGGUGAGUACUUGGCUGUGACCUCCUUUUCCCGCGGCGGAGGCGGGCGGGGCGCGGCGCUGCGAGGUGAAACAAGGU